CCUCCGCGCGCCCGUGCCGCGCCGCCUGGGCCCGCGCUCGCUGAGGAUGCAUUCUGCAACCUGUACAGGAUAAGCAAAGCAGCUCGUGCCGCAAGCACCAUCCACCGGCCAUCCCGUCGCUGCGACCUGCAAGUGGAAUGCGACAAGGAGAGAAGCCCAGUCAGCAUCGUCGGGCUUUAGCAGCUCGUGCUCCAUCCACCCCGCCAGCGCCCCCGCCGUCCGCGCGCCGGCGUCGCAGCACCGAGCUGUCGGUCCAUCCGUCUCAGGCCACCGCGGCAUCCUGGAGGAGCGAGUGCCGUCAGCGGAGUGCAAGGGGAGUGGGAGUCGGCGGAUGCUCACGGGAACUCGUCGGACCUGGUGGCCUAGCGGUGGGGAUUCGAGGUAGGAGACGGAGCUGACUUGUGGGGCCUGCAUGAAAGUGAGAUGAGCUGCCGGAUCCAGCUGUUAGAGAGGGGAGGAGAGGAGCUGAUAGGGGAAGAGAGGACAUUUCAGCUGAGCUUGUUGACCGGGCACCAACGUGUGAGGAUGGCGUGGCGUGUCACAUCAGCAUUUGUGAUAAAAAUAUGACUCAAACUUCUCUCCACCGAUAUAGUUGUGGUAAAAAUAUAACUCAAACUUCUCUCCA
Molecule: long non-coding RNA, 625 nt
Organism: Panicum virgatum (switchgrass)
Lineage: Eukaryota; Viridiplantae; Streptophyta; Magnoliopsida; Poales; Poaceae
Exons: 2
Source: RefSeq, a predicted model, not a curated record